Homo sapiens (human) is the source of this 16521-nucleotide long non-coding RNA. RefSeq lists it as uncharacterized. The record is from RefSeq and is a predicted model, not a curated record. Lineage: Eukaryota; Metazoa; Chordata; Mammalia; Primates; Hominidae. The transcript has 3 exons.
GGAUAUUUUUCUGAGUAUAUUUCCUUUGCCAAAUUUUGAAUUUGAAUUUGAGAUUUGAAUUUGUAUAUGUUGAAUGCUCACCAGGUAAUUCCACUGUAUAUCCAGCCCAUUUUUAUGGAAGAGGAAGAGAAGGCUUAGUGAGGUCAAAGAAGUUGCCCACAGAGGCCCAACCAGUUAGCAGGAAGCCUGUGUCUUCCAUCUCUGAGGCACAUGGUCCCAAUGGUGAUGUGACAUGGCCUACGGUACCAGGGCAGAGAUGGGAGGCCAACCCCCCAGGAGCAUCAGAGAGCUCUCUCCCACCCUACCAUAGACCCCGUGGUGCUCCGCCAUGCUCCCCAGGCCUCUAGAAGCAAGAGGGAGUGGACAAGAGCAAGUCCCUCCCUCAUUUCUGUACUCAGAGACAGGCAGUCCCUCCCAGUGACCACUACGCUUCCCCCCAGGCCCAGAAGUGGGAGAGCUGGCGUCUGGCAGGCACUGGUUCAGACAGCCUCCUGUGUCUGCCUGGCAUAUCCUUGCUGUAACCCCAGAGAUGACCCUGGCCACAGCCCUUUUGGCAGGCUCACCUGCUCGCCUCCCUUCUCCUCUCCAGAAAGGGGUAUUCCUGGCCACCAAGCCCACCCUGCCCUUCACUCCACAGGCUGGAGUGGUGGUGGUGGUGGUGGAGGGGGAGUCCCCGGGCUGCUGCCCCUGCCCCAAUGAGGUUUUGAAGUGCCCCGCAGAGCUCAAUUCCAUGGCCUGCACUUUCAUAGAAUCCAAUGCCCACUUAACCUUCAAGGAAAAUCUUCCUGACAGUCUCAUGAUCUUUGACCUCUGACCCCUGACCACGAACCUAGGUCUGAUAGAAAUCAUCCAAGCCUAACUAUCUCUAGGUCUAUUAUCUCUCUCUCUCCCAUACAGCAGCUUUUUGAAAAGGAAGAAAGCAUUAUACAGACACAAGAAAGUCUUCCUCCUGCUUUGUUAAAAACAACUACACUAAAUGCUUGUCUUUGCAAGGAAGUGGUGCAGCCGUGCAGUGGUGGGGAUCCUAGCCCAGGCCAGGGAAGGGGUGGGAGGUCCCAGGCAGGAGGUGGCCACACCGGGCUCCUCACCAGGCACACCUUGCAGCUCCAACCCUGCUCCCUCCCAGCUGAUCACCUGUCUGCCCCCACAGUGCCUGGAUAUCCACUCUGCCCUGGCCUCUUGGAAGCUACAGUCCCCCUCUUCUUCACAAGCUUCUAUAUUGAUUACAUCAGGUUUCUGUCACUCCCUGGGCAUACCCAGAGAGCAUGAGCCCCAUGGAGGUAGGGCAGAUCCUCAGGCCAAGUCCAGACCCUGCUAGCUCAGGACUUGCAGACUCCCAUCAUCUCUAGCCCCAACCUGGGUAGACAUCCCAAGGGGUGAACAAUACAAAGGAACCACAGCACUUGAUUAAAGGACCAUAAAAAUCCCAAGCACAGCUCCUCUGACAAUAAGCUUGUCUUAACAGCAGAGGCUUCCUCCUGCUGGGGGUCAUGGUUUUUCAUGUUUUUUUUUUUCUAAGAAGUUAUCCUACCAAGGUCUCUCUCCACGUGGGCAGGAUGUGUGGGUCACGUCCAAGCAGAAAUAAAUAGGUAAUGUUUCUAAAAUUCCUGGAAUCUCUAGGCUGCACAGCUAUUCAGAGAAGUUGACCUGAUUCAGAAAGGAAAGUCGGGGGUGGGCAGGCUCACCCAUGCUUAAAUUUGUGGUUUUCUAACUUUUAAUUUAUUAUUUUUUAAUCAGCAGAGAUCCUUUUAAAAACAAUACCUUAGCUGAAGUUCUAAUAUAAAAUCAUAGACAAUAAAAGUAAACAUGGAAUUUCUGGAAGCUGCCGCUGAGCCCUGGCACCCCACACAUCCUGCCUCCACCUGCCACACAUUGGUGCCCUGUGGCGUGAACCUAAAACUCUACCCAUUCUGAAAAGCUCUGCUCUCAAUACUAUCCCAGAGGCUAGCUACACAAUGAGCUAGACAUUUUUCUAGAAGAAGGGCUUCACUCAGGAACCCCGGACAGGUUUCAGUGGAUUCCACGACCCCCUUAAAAGUGCACGUGAAUAUUUUGCGCAGGGUAGCCUUGUGGGUGAGAGCCUAUGACAUGCACCCUAUAUCCAGAUGGUUUUCAUCUGCACAGCACUGCGGUUCCAGAGGCUGGGUCGCUGGAAUGGGCAAGACUUCCUUGGAUGCUCCAAGGGAAUAACCACCCCUCUCUCCCUUUUCCUUCCAACAGGGUUUCUUAUUGUAACAGUCUAAAGAGUCCUGAAUAAUAAACUGCACACACCCUUUGGGUGACCCGGAUCCUAGCUGUCGCUAAGCCUGGAUCACCAUGGACCAUUCUUUUAAUAUCCCAUUCUGCCCUCUCCUCUCUCUUGUGUAAAAUGAGGAUGAAAAUAUUUGCUCUUCCUACCUCCUUUGCCACACUAUUAAGACUUUCUUUGAUUUCAUGAGCCAACAAAUUCUUUUUACGUUUAAAAUACUUUGAGUUGGGUUUCUGUCGCUUGCAACCAAAAAAGUCCUAAAUAAUUUAACAUGAUACAACUUUAGGAGUCAGUGGGGCUGAUCUUAUUAUAUCCAGGAAGUCAUGGAAAGCAGACAUGGCCCCUCCCUUAUUGCCCUCCACGGGUAGCCAUGUCAGGAGGAAUCUACCAGGCAAUGUCAAAUACAAAUGACAUUUACUUAUUAAUUUCUGAAUAAACAGAUAAAAUAGGUGAGGACACUGAUGCAAAGAACAGGGACUAGGGACCAACAGGGAAGUGUUAGAAGAUUGUUUCUACAUUAUAGAGGGUAAAAUGUACAGGAAACAAUUAGUAAAAUGCCACUUCUUCAACUACCAUUGUCAGGCUUCCAUUCUGCAGCCAGCACAGUGCACUGAAGGGAGUGCACUGUGUGCACUGGGGGCUGGGGGACGGAGGCACUGGAGGAUGACUGUGACUCUCUGUGUCGAAGACCAAAUGGGACCAAAAGGCUACGGGCCUUCUCCAGGUCAUGAACCCAGGAAAGACUUGAACACAGGCCACUUAGGCUCAUGGUGUUCAUGCUGCUCAUUGACACGGGACACGCACAAGAGAAUGGAACUGGAGUGGACUGACAUGCUCCAUUCCCUGGAUAAUGGAUAUCUAUUAAGGGUCCUGGACACACUUCUGAACUGAAAAUGGCAAUGCCUUCAAGCUGCUGCAGACCAGGGGCAGAAAGACGCCCAAGAAAUGUGAGAGGUACAAAGGGCCAUGAGGAAUGAGAGUUUCCAUUCUGCAGCCCCUGAAAAAACCACCUGGGCAUGAUGAGACACAUAUGGCCUGUGUCCUGGCCCCUCAUGAAGUGGUGUGUCUAUGGCACAGAUAAGACCCAGAGCCUCAAGAACUCUAGAGAGCAAGCUCAAGAGAAGGCAAAGCAAUGUUUGCGUUCUGGCCUCUAAGGGGGAAAUGACAACUGUUGAGAAGUGGGCAACAUUGUGAAGAGUUUUAUGUACUUGAGGAGGUUCAAAGACCAUCAUAGAACUGAAGCAUCAACCAACUCUAGAAGAGGAGUGAUGCUCAACAAACCCUCAGAGGAUGCCCACGGUGCCCUGUGAGCAUGCUGUGUGCACAGACACAGGAAAACAAGACUCCACCUCUGUCUCCAAGAGGGGCAUGGGCCCUGGGGAAGAGGGACACGCAAAUUGAGUGGAGUCACAAUGGAAGAACAUCCAAGGUCCAAGGAGCUGUGGAGGAAGGGAUGCCUGAGGUCACCCUUCGAAGUGAACAGAGGCUCUGAGGUUAGAGUGAGAGAGGCACGGCCCACGCUUGAGGGGCUCUGCUCUGCUUCUUCUGAGCACACUCUGCUGCAGCUCAUUAUACAAACUAGCAGUAGUCACGUUCGCACAGGGCAGGGGCAUCUGUGGGUAGCAGGGAGGGAGCCCCUGCCUAAACCACCUGCGCAGCCAUGCUAAGAUUCUGAGGUGUACCCCGCUGUGCCGGGGGGAAGCCUCCAAGGCCUCACAUGAAUGAACAGGUUCAUCACUGUCCUGCUGUCUGCCCUGGUAGGUCACAGCUGGCUGGAGAGGCCACAGGCAUGUGUAUUAGCCUGUUCUCACACUGCUAAUAGGGACAUACUUGAGACUGGGUAAUUUAUAAAGGAAAGAGGUUUAAUGGACUCACAGUUCCACAUGGCUGGGGAGGCCUCACAAUUAUGGCAGAAGGCAAAGGACGAACAAAGUCACAUCUUACAUGGUAGCAGAAAGAGAGCAUGUACAGGGGAACUCCCCUUUAUAAAACCAUCACAUCUCAUGAAACUUACUCACUACCAUGAGAACAGCAUGGAGGAAACCAUCUCCCUUCAAUUAUCCCCACCUGGCCCAGCCCUUGACACGUGGCAAUUAUUAUAAUUCAAAGUGAAAUCUGGGUGGGGACACAGCCAAGCCAUAUCAGCAUGGAUAAGGAGGCCACAGUGAAGGCGAGAGCAGCAGGACCUGCCUCUCAGUAUCUGCCGAGCCAGUGUGGAGUGUGCUCACGUGGAAUUGGAGAGCUGGGGGACUGCAGCAAUGCAGAUCCAGGUGCCCUGAGCAGAGAUCAGGCAUCAAACGUUUUGGCUAGAUGCUGUCACUGCCACUUACCGCAGGAGCUGGCAGCAAUGCCUACCUUAUUUAAGCUUCUAGUUUUCUCACCUAAAAAAUGGUGGUAAUAAAGAAGCAUACGCAUAUCAGAGGACCGUUACGAGGGUUAAAUGAGAUGACUGGGCAUGAAUGGCAUGUCGACAGCCCAGCUCAAGAAUGCCCCGCUGCAUGUGGAGACCCCUGGGCUAGGAAGGCCUCCAACCUGAGGCUUCGUAAGCACUUGCGUCUGUGGUCUUUGUGCACCUGCUGGGAAGCAGCCGCCCAAACCCCAAAACCAUCCUAGAAUGUGGUCAUACCUGUGUUAAUCAACUAACCACCUGCUAAGCUCCCAGGCCGUGUCCAGGACACUCUUGGGCCAAAGCAGUCCCUGCAACCUCAGCUUCCUCCACACAGACCUGCACCACCCGGCUCCAGCCCCAGCCCCAGCCCCAGCCCCAGCCCCAGCCCCAGCCCCAUGCUGGCACUUCCCAAUCCCUCCCCUCAUCUCAUCACAGGACUCUGGGCAAGGCAGAGAGCUAGAAGAGGGGAAGCUGCAAGGAGGCUCUGAAGAGCCAGGGAGGGGCCUGUCUCCCAGAGGACCAGCCAGUCUGUGAACCUGCUCAAGGGCAGAAUGUUACUCAAAGGCCCUGAAGAUUUCAGGCCUCGGCAGCCAAGAAACUCGACUGAGACACUGGGUCUGACUAGCCUGCUGGGGCCGUCGGGCACCAGGAGGCUCGGGGGUAUCUAAGAAGCUAGCCACAGCACAGAUAAGAAGAGUGGGGAAGAGAGGACCUCUCUCCUCAGGUCUGACCGAGAACCAGCAGGGGCAGCUCAGCCUUGGUGCUGGAGGGACAGAGGGUUGAAACGUGGGUCCUCGUCCAGGAAGCCAAUCCGUGGUUUCAUUCAUUCAGGCAACACAUUUCUGCUGAGGCUUAUGUGGUGCCAGCGGCUGUACUAGGUGCUGGGGAUGCCACAGUGACCUAGGCCACAGAGAGGAACUUCCACUCUACCAAGGGGAAAUGACAGUCCCCAGCCUGCAGCUAAAAACACCAAGGUCAUUCAAACAGAAACAAGUGUGCUCAAAACCAAACCAAACCAUAGGAAGGGGAUAAUGCUUUAGAUUAGGGCAUCAGAAGAGUCCUCCCUAAGAAAGGGACAGGUGAGCCAGACCAGAAUGACCAGGUUGAAAAGAUCGGGAAAGAUUCAAGGCUGAGAGAAAACAAAUAGGGUAUUCCUAUUCUGUUUAGUCUUUAAUAUGUGAAGCUUAGAGUUUCUUUAAAUAAAGUCGUAGACCUAAAUUAGUGGUGCCCAACAUUUCAAAUUUCAUAAACCAGUAAAUUUAAAAAUGGAGAAUUGGGCUGUACACAGUGGCUCAUGCCUGUAAUCCCAGCACUUUGGGAGGCCGAGGUAGGAGAAUCACUGGAACCCAGGAGUUCGAGACCAGCCGGGGCAACACAAGGAGACUCAGUCUCUGAAAAUAAGAUAAAUACAUAGUUGCCUCCCCAGGAUGGAAGCGAGUCCCAUGCCAGCUGCUGGGCCCUCCUAGCUUGGCAUGCAGCCGGGGCAUCUCCUGCGACAGGUUCCAGGAGGGCAGCCCCUGCAGCUGAAUCACCCAGCUGCCCAGCAGCAGAGGCCAGGAAAGCAGCAUUUUGUCAUUUUCUCCUUGUGUACUUGGUGUUCCCUUCAAGUGCUCCCUUCAUCCAUAGGGUUUUCAGAGGGGAGUUUGCUUUUUUUUUUUUUUUUUUUUUUUUUUUUUUUUUUUUUAAUGAUGGCUACAUUUUCCACUGAGUUGACUUUCAGGAGGGAGGAGUAGAGAGUUGCCCUGCAGUGCCACAUGGUUCCUGGCUCUGGUCAUACCCCACGCUUGACCUGGAAGGCCAGAGUGCAUGAGCCAGGCUCAGGGGAUCAGAUCCUGUGCUUCAGGACUGCAGGACUGCAGGGCUGGGGUGAUGGACUCAAGGGCUAGGAUGCAACGGCAGGAUCACUAUUUCUGGCUGCAUCACAGCCUCCCAACAGUGGAGGUGCUUUCUGGCUUAUCAGGAGGAGGUGAUCCCUUAGAUUCUCACUACCCCCUCACAUGUCAUCUCUCAGGAGAAGCCCAUCCAGAGGAAAAGCUUCAGCAAAUGGAUUGCUCCCCAAUCCCCUCUGGCCUUGAGAACCACUUUAAACUUCUAUUUACAGCAAUGCAGCAGAAGGAGCACUGGGCUGGGGGCCAGGAUACCCGGGUUCCUGCCCUGGCAUUUGGAGUUAGACUGGAGAAUGGUCAGCCACUGAUCUUUAAGGACCAUCUGGGCCUCCCUUUCCCUGUGCACCUGCCAUGCCAUCCCUGAACACACACUCCUCCUUCCAGGCUUUGUCUUCAGCCUGGAACAUCUUCCCACUUCUGUUUACCCCUAAAAUUCUGUCAGCUUUUACCAUUAGCACAAAUGCCCCUGCCAUGCAAAGCUGAUCCCAGUUCCCAUGAGAAGGAAUCCAUCUGGUCACACAGCACACUGGACAAACUUCCUAGUACUCCAUCCUGCUGUCUGAAUGGUCUAGAUAGUUACUUAAAUGCUUGCCUCCCCAAACAAGCUACAAACUUUCAGGAGCUCAGGAGCCAUGCUUCCUUCACUUCUGUAGGCCCCACAGUGUCUGGCACAGUGCCUUAGAUACCAUGAGCCUCCAUAAUUGUUUGUUGUAUAAAAAGUUAAGAUGACCACUGUCCUGACAGGCCAGAGUUGGGCCAUUCUUACUGGAUCCACUGUGGACCAAGAGCAUUCAUUGGUGGCCCAGAGGCCCAGGGGUCUGUGGCCUUUAACUAGGCAAUAUCUCUUGCUCUGCAAGAGGCCAGGAUCCUUGAUGUCCUCUAACCAUAAGGCUCAGUGCUUAGUGAUUGCUAGCUCUCCUUCAGUUAAAGGGAAAAGGUAACAAAGACCUGGGUCCCCCAGGACUCAGUGAAACUGUAAGCUCUCCGAGGACAAAGGUGGCCAUUCACUGGCUGCAUGGUGACAACACACCACAGAUGCUUAGGCCCACUACUUAGCUCCACAGGCCCCCUGUGUGUAACAAGUGUCUCACUUCUGAGACAGCAAGGCAGCAGGUACAUUGGCCAGGCACCCAUGCUGCUCAUUUAUCCUCUCUAAGCUUCAGUUUCCUCUGCCUGAAAAUGGAGAGACUAAUACCUACCUUUCGUUGUAGGAAUUAAAUGAGAUGCUGAAAACCAAAGGAGAUGACAGAUAGAAACACACCUGGCCAGUUCUGGAUUACAUGUUUGCUGAACCCAAAUGGGAAAUGCUCAAGCCAGAUCAGCUUGCAAAGAGAAGGGUCCAAGUGGACCCUAGGUCCCGAGAGCUCAAGCCAGACAGACUAAGAGCGGUGUCGGUACCCAUAAAGAGAGCAAUAUGUCUGGCGGGGGUCACACAAAGUAACACAGGCCGGGACGGUGAGACCAGGAGUUCCACCCUGCGAUGGAUGGGCAGCAGGGUCCAAGGAGGUAGGCCAGCCCAAACUGUGACCCCAGUCAGCACCAACAGGGGGGUCCCAUCCAAUGGCCUCUACUGGGUUAUAGAAGACACAGGCUCGCUGCCCUAGAUUUGUGCUGUCUACUGAUGUGAAAGGGCUGGAGGUGAAAGUAAACUCUGGAUCACAGCUGGGCCCAUAGCCUAGGCAAAGACUAGGGGACUCCAGGGACUCCUAAGCCCCCCGCCCCAUGCCAGAGCCCUAAGCUUCACCUCCAGAAUUGCAUCUUACACGUUGCAGAUGCUAAUGAGACUGACAGCUGGGGAAGAAGUGGAGAGGGGGAAUAUCUGUGGGAGGCGGCUUGGGCCUUUGCACGAAACCUGCCAGAUCUGUGACACUCCUUGGCUGUUUUCAAAAGGUUCUACUAGCUCCUCCUAGGAUACCUCAGAGUGGCAAGAACAUAAAGAAAAAGGAGACAGCAAGACCAGGCUUGGGCAUCUUUGAGCCGAGUCACAUGCGGAGGAGACAGCCCAACAAUGGCAGGAAGUUCCCUGCGAACUCUUUCCUUCCCCUCCAGUCCUGCCCGAUAAAUACGCGCUCUUCUCCUGACUGAGCAAUGCCAGUUUCCUGGAAGGUGUUCAGAAAGUCUCCUCGCCAUAGAAGGAGCCAAAUGAUGUCUACAUGGAUUAUGAGCUAUCAUAAUGAUAGCAACGGGCUGUAAUGUAUGGAGGCAGGCACUGAGUGAAAAGUUUCUGAUACAGUAACUAAUUUAAACCUCACAAUAGCCCUGAGAUAUAGGUACUACGAUUAUCUAUUCUCUACAAAUGAGGAAAAGGAGGGCUGGAUAGACUAAACAGCAUGUCUAAAGAAAUGCAGCAAGUAAGCAAUGGAACUAGGGUGGCACCUCAGUUCUCUAACAUCAAAGCCUAUUCCCAUGAGGCUCAGGAUUGAACCGUAGCGGAAUGCUCAUAAGAGCAUCAGUCAUGAGACCCAGCACUGACGGCAGCGAGUGCCCAUCCAGAAGUGUGUGCGUGGGUUCCCUUUCUCUGGCAAUAGACCCCCAGAUCCCAUUAUAAUGACUCUGCACAGCAAUGUCACAUAGCAGGUACUCAACAAAUGCUGAUUGAUGGAGUGAACAAAUGAAUGAAUGAAUAAUGAAUGUGGCUUUAAACAAGCUACAGAAAGGGUUAGCCCCAAUUGUGGUGGGCACUCGCUCUGUAAACAAUUCCAGCACUGAAUGCAUACAUUUACAAGGUUGCUGUAACUGGGUUGUGCCAGAGCACCUCACUUCUUCCCUCUCCCUUCUUCCAAAUUCUGUGCUGUGCUUCCAAAAUAGCUGUGCUGCUUCAUGUGAAUCUGAUCAGUACCAGAAGAAGAUAAUAGAUCUCCCUGACAAGUGUGUGGUCAAAAAUUUAAAAAGCAUGAGGAACUUGCAGAAAUGACAAAGGAUAAGGUCUUACAGAGGUUUCCAAUUAGGAAGAAAGAUUAGAUGGACAAAGAUGAGUUCCUAAAAAGCUGCUUGCAUGCAGAAAAAUCUCUGUGUGGAACUGUAUUUUAAGCAUACUAGGAAAUUGUAAGUCCUGUUCCAAAUAUCUUUAGUAAAUUAGACAAUCGACUCCAACUUGUUAAUUUUACAAGAGAAUCCAGAUGCUUUAAGGAGACUGGUUGUACCAUUCUCUCUGACUAUAGUGAAAUUUAUCAUUUCAGAAAUUCAAUUACUUGUUCCAUUCCCAGAAAGCAGUGCUAAGCUUUUGUUGUGUGGAUGCACGGCAUUAAAGAGUCUGCACCACAUAAAAAGGUCUUUAUGGGUUGUCUUAAAUUGGGCAGCCAUUGGUUCUGGCCAGCAGGCUCACUAAGCAAUAGUGGCCCUGCUGACGUAGUUGGUAUCUCAUUCCCACCAUGGCUCUGUAGCAGACAGUGAUCUGACCUACUUUCAGGGGCACAGCGGUGGCUCAAGAAGGAAUGGCGGAGAAUUUGAGAACCUGGACUCAGGAUAUUGAAGCUCAGUCUUUAGGCGCUUCCUGGCCAUCCUCCACUGCCAGGGUUCCUGUGGCUCUGACUGAGGGCAGCUCUCAUCCCCUCCCUGCUCUCUGUCUCCAGAGCCUCUGCCUCCUGCAGCCCUCCUCACCUGAAUCCAUUGUCCUUGGGCAGGAAUAGCGUCCAUUCCUAGCCAGAGUGUCUAACUUCUUACAUCUACUAGGUUUUGAUAUGGGGCUUCCCAAGCCCCCGACUCACAGCCUGCAGAGAAAACAGUAACAUCUGCCGGGCACCCUAGGGCAACCAAAGAGAGUCUUUGGGACCAGAGGGUGGGAGCAGCAGCACCUGCCACCCCAACAGCUGAGUGAGGGAAGCCAACCAGGACUUAUUGUCAGCACAGCCACCAGGACACUGCUCUGUUUUAAGAGCAACUAAAAAUUUACACAAAGUCCAAAAUGUGGUUUUAAAAAUUCCCCGCAUAGGCACCAACGCAUAAACUGCAGUUAGGGAGUCUAUGCAGGGUCAACCCUCUAGAGCAGGGAUCAGCAGAUUUCCUGUAAAGAGUCAAAUACUAAAUAUUUUAGGCUUUGCAGGCCAUAAGGUCUUUGUCACAAUGACUCAGCUCUGCAGCUGUAUGGCAAAAACAGCUACAGAAGUGUGGCUGUGUUCCAAUAAAGCUUUAUUUAUAAAAACCAAUGGAGGGCUGGACUUGGCGCGUGGAUCAUGGCCGAUAGACCCUUGCACUGGAGACAUGUUGGAGACCUGGCGCAUUUGGCAGCAGUGUCUUCCCUCUCUGGGCCCUUCUCUCUACUGGGUGCUGGUUUUCUGCCUUGGAUAGGUACCCAGCCUUCUCACACUCUCUCCCCACUCCUUCAUAGAAGGACCUGACAAAUUCAGUCCACCUGAGAUGAGGAUAAAGGGGUUACAUUUACCUGAGGUUGGUGGCUCUCAGCCCUGGUUGCUCAGUGACAGCCCCUGGGGACAUUUAAAACAUCUCGAUGCCCAGGUCCCACUCCAGAGACUCUCAUGCAUUUGGUCUGGGUGCAGCCUGGGCAUCAAAGAUGUUAAAAGCUCCCCAGGCGAGUCUACAACGUGGUCGAGAACCACUGCCUCAGACUAAAAGGAGAAAAAGUGAGUAUUUUUAGAACAAGCAGGCCAGAGAGGUAGAAUUUCUUUUUCCUCUUGUGGGUGGGAAAGGGCCAAAAACAUGCCCAGAGCCCUUGGAGCCUGCCACACAGGACAGCCUGGGCCACCCUCCGCUGAUGCUGGCACCGGGUAGAUUUCACCAUGGUCUGCCAAGAUCCAUUUUUAUUUCCCUCUUGAUAUCUAGUACAUUUCUCUGUGGCAACACAUAUAUGCUCAUUAACACCGAUUCAUCAUCAGAAAAGCACGUAAGGGCCUAAUAUCUAAUCAGUUGGUUCAUCUAUCAAUGCUCAAAACAAAAUGUUGACCAAGUCCUGCCUUAGAGAGGGCUGUAGUCUAUCAAGGUCGAGACAAGGUAAGCACAGAUGAAAUAAUAAUAGGCUUAGCCAUAUUCACUUUAUGCAAUAAGGCAGUGGUUCCCACACUGCACAGUAUAAUGACCUGAGGAGAUUUUAAAAUCCCAAUGCCUGGGUCAAGCUCCAUGCUAAAAACAUCAGAGUGUCUAGGGAUGGAAGACUAGCACCAGUCUCUUUCAACCCACCCCUCCACAGGAGCCCAUUGUGCAGCAAAAUGUGGGAACCAUUGUUGUAGGGUUCCGCUACUCAAAGUGUGGUCUGAGGACCAGCCGCGUUGGUCUCACCUGGGAGCUGGCUGGAGAUGCAGAAGUUCAGGCCUACCCUAGUCCUCCUGAAUCAGAAGCUGCAUGUUCACCAGAUCUGCAUGCUAUUCAUAUGCACGCUAAAGUUUGAGAAGUAAUGAGGCAGGGUACCAUGUUCUGAGAAAGCAAAGAUUCUAGAAUGUCCCAGCAGAAUGGUUAGGAAACACUUCUUACAAAGAGGGGGAAGUGAGAGAGAUUUUGAUGGAUGGGAGAAUUAGAGGCAGAGAGGUGGAGAGGACAAGAUCCAGGCAAGAAGGAAACUGAUCUUCGUGUAUGGUGAGCCAGAAAUAGGAGUAAGGGUGGUUUUUUUUUUUUGUUUUUUGUUUUUUGUUUUGUUUUUGUUUUUGUUUUUUUGUGGCCCAUGAACACCCAGAGUGGCCCUUGGGCACAAUCCCUUUGUUUCCAGACCUCCAGAAGUCAAGUGGAUUCCCAGUUGAGUUGAGCAAGGGUUUUUUGUUUUGUUUUACAAAGAUAAAAACUUAAGUCUCAUUUAGUGAGACAAUUAACAAGCUCAGGUUUUUGAAAAGGAUAAAAUCUGAGGUCAGGAGUUUGAGACCAACCUGGCCAACAUGGCAAAACCCCAUCUCUACUAAAAGAUAUACAAAUUAGCUGGGCAUGGUGGCACACGCCUGUAAUCCAGCUACUCGGGAGGCUGAAGCACAAGAAUUGCUUGAACCCGGGAGACAGACGUUGCCGUGAGCCGAAAUCACACCACUGUGCUCUAGCCUGGGUGACAGAGUGAGACUCUGUCUCAAAAAGAAGAAAAGGAUAAAAUGGCAGGUAAAUAGGAUUGUCCUGGAAUACCUGGGGCAGCAAGUGAGGGGCGGUGGAGGAUAAGAAUAGAUGAGGGAGUGAAGAAACAUUCCAGGGCUUCAGAUCUGUCUCAGGCCAGGGGAGAGCUGGUGUCACCACUUGGGUCUGGGAGGGAGAGGGAAAGGGGAGACAGGAGUGAGCAAAGAUGCUUGGACAAUUUCUUUGAGGAGGACAGACUCACAAGAGAAGGAGUGGGGAGACAGGAAGACCAGACAAGGACUGGGGACAUGAGCACCUGUUCCCAGCUAGAGAAAGGAAGAAGGAAAGACCUUUUAGGAGAGGACUGAUUCUAUCUGGUGCAGGUGGCAAAGAGUCACUGAGCAUUGGGAGGCCUCGAAUCUGGAACACUGGGCUGUGUGACUGACUGGAGGGAAAUCUAGAAUCUCAAGUGUAUUCUAACAAACUAUUUUGGUAACGACCCCUACAAAGUUAUGUAUGGGAAAAUACAAAGCCCUUCAGCAAAUAUGUCUCCCAAAGGGAGGGAGAGAGGAAGAGUAAGCUAUACACAGGCCCUGGAAUUGUCUUCGGCACCAGAGGGCCACGAACACCCAGAGUGGCCCUUGGGCACAAUCCCUUUGUUUCUAGACGUCUGGAAGUCAAGUGGAUUCCCAGUUGAGUUGGAAAUGCCGGGAGACUUUUCCCAUACUACAGUGGACUGAAACAAUGCCGGCAGAGUGGACGUUACAAUUGUUUCCACUGAAGUUAUUUUGGGGGAGUUUAGGAAGAUUGUCUAUUCCAAGACAUUUCCUUCACCCGAUUCCCUUUAUAAAAAUACCGAAGGAAGAAGCCUGUGUUGCAGCCACUCUGUCUGCCCUGCUCACAGGCACGUGCACCAUGCUCGUGGUGAGUGGCUCCCAGUGGGCCCCAGGAGCUGCCGUGUGCAAUACCUAUUUACUGCUGCCCUCUCAGAAGCCCUUAGAUUUGACUGGCACCUCACUGUUUUCAAAGAAGUUUCUCCAUUAUUGUCUUGCUUGAUUCUCACUACAGCCUUCUGAGAUGGUGGUUUGCAGGGAGGAGGUUUUAUUAUCUCCAUCCUAGAUAGGAGGAAAUGGGGAAGUAAAGGUGCUUGGUCAAGUCCAUGCAGCUUGGAAGAGGUGGAGCGGGGCAGGCUCCUGUGUUCCGGCUCUGGGAGGAUGCCUUCUGGGUCCUGUGCGUGUUGCAGGGUGCGCCAGGGCUGCUGAGAGAGUGUUCCUUAAGUGUUUGUGGACUACUUUCCACAGCCAAUCCCCGAGCCAGGUCAUGAUGGAUCAGCCAGGAGAAGACAGACCUGGCCCUUCUGUACUCAGGGCUCCACAGCUAGUCCAGUGUGCUGUUACAUGGGGUGCAAGAUAGGGAAAAUGUGGGAUGCAGGGUUGGAAGGAAAUGCAGGGGCUGGAUUGGGAUGACCGUGCAUGAGAGGAGCUUGUCUUCCACGUGAUGGAAGGCAAGGACAGGCUGGAGCAAAUCAGGAAACUAGCUAGAUGUGUGCACUUUGUAGGUCAUGCUAGAGGUGACUGGAUUUAGGGGAUUUAAACCAAACCCAGGGCAGACUGGUAAGGGGCUGUCACAACAGCCAAGGGGCAAGGAGGACUAGCGGAGGAGUUAGGGAAGCCAUAGUGGAUGGAAGGAGAGUCUGUAAACGCCCAAAUAAAAUAAAAUUUAGAAUGAAAUUGAUGAGUUUUGGUGAAGGACGGGGUGGGGUGGAGAUGGGGGAGAGAGUGUCACCUAUAAGAAACACAAUGGCAAAGAAGACAUGAGCCCUGCUCUGAGGAAUCCUACCUUCUUAUAGGACAGGGAGAAAAUAAGGCUGGGCAUGAUCAAUUUCAAGAUGACAGAAGCUACUGAACUAAUGUUUUAUAAGUUAGGAUCAAGUCCUGGCUAACUGCUUAUUUUUCUAUGAUGUAAGUAUCUCACAGACUGGGGAAAUGGGAUAAGUCUUUAAUACCUUAGGGCAGAGGGGCUCAGCCAUGACUGCAAGCCAGAUUCACUCGGGGAGCUUUACAAGUGCCUCAUGCCCAGGACCCAUUGCCCAGAGAGUUAACUGCGGCAGGGGAAGGUAGUGACCUUUUCUUCCCUGAAAGUCACCUUUGCACUUAGCCCCUCCUGGACAGCAGGAAUCUCUCUCCUGUGUACAGUGACCUCUGACUCACAACAACCUUGAGAAUUCAGCUCAUCUGCGCUGGCCUGGGGCUUGAGUUUGGCUCAGUGCAGACUGAAAGGGGCUGUGUUAUAUGGACAACCAUGAAGGCUCCUUUCAGGUGGGCCCUCCUAUGACCUCGUGACUCCAUCCUCCUGAAGAAAUAGAAUGGAGGAAACUUGCCUUCUUGGCUGUUAGACAUUACCCUUCAGCGGAGGGUUCUCUGUAGCUGAAAGGUUCUCAACUCAAAGUUUGGCCUUCUAGAAAAUGACUUAGUGACCCAAGCCUUCAAUUCAAGCUGCAGCAUGUGAAAUCCACUUAAAAUGAGAGCGGGCUGCUGCUUCUGCAUGCUUUGAACAACCCCAGGAGGUGACUCGGCCACUCUGUCCUCAUAGAUUUGAGUUAUUUUUAUGACAAUAUCAGACAGAGGCUGUGCUGAGGAAGGGGCACCUCUUUCUAAUUUGCAAAAAGUCGCCAUGUGGCUAGUGGCCUCCUUCAGGGAUGAAAAAGGAAGCCACAGGCCUGACACACAGCCCAGUAUGCAGAACAGAGAACAAUGAGGACAGGGUACAACUGCCAGUGCGGGAUGCCCAGAUGCUGUGGCAGUCCUCCUCCUCCAGGGUGUGUCUGAAGGCCCCCAAACACCACCGCAUCUUUCGGAAGAGCCCUCACCUCUCUGUGCCCCCACCUCUCUGUGCCCCGGCAUGGCGGGGCUGAGGAGUGGGGCCCCGGGAACCUCGGCCAUUAGCAGCUUAUGUGGUCUUGCAGUUCUCACUUGGAUGAGAGAGGGGAGUGUGUGCAGAGACAGAGAGGCAGCUCUGAUUGUCAUUCCUUUCUUUUUCUCCCCCUCUUUCCUCUCUACAGAACAUUUUCUGUGCAGAUGCUUUAGUGAUGAAGCCUUUUCAAAGACACCUACUUGAUGCUGAUCUCUAGGAAAUUCUAGAAUACAUUAUUAAACAGAUGUCCUGUGAGCCUUGUACAAGGACCAAUCAUUCGGAUUCAUUAUAAAAGAAACUACAGGAUGUGUGGGAAGACCAGCGACCAAGGGACCCUGGGCCCCAAGUCAGUGGCUGAGUGAGCUGUGUGGCCUCUGGCCCAGCACUUCCCCACUGGGAGCCUUGCCUUCCUUGUUUAGAAGGACGUGUUUAGGAUGGUUUAGAAUGGUGACUAGGUGCUUUUCAAGAUACAUGCACAGAGGACAUUUCAUCUCUUUGUUCCUCCAUCCAAUGCUGGCUGUUCCUUACUCUGGGCACCAUGGUGAGACAGCUAAGUCUUCUGUGUUCUCUCUGGCUGGUCUAGGUACCCAUCCUUGGCACCCCUAUACCUGAGCCUGCCCUCAUCUGACCCUCUCUUCUUCACCAGCCCCAUCGCAAGUAUACCCAGCUUUAUCCUCCACAUCAGGGGCUGAGGUGACAACAUGUCGGUAGGAGGAAUCCUUGCAGGUGAUCUGCUGGAAAAGGAGCACUUCCAGGGAGGCUUCCCCCUGCCACCCAGUGUGCUUCGGUGUCAGCGCCCGCCGCUGCAGAGGUUCUGCACGCAGGGAACAAACUCCUCUCCCUGUCGGCCUCUGCCCAGCACGCUGUGGAUGGUUCAUCUGCCACACACACAAAGCAGUGCGCUGGAAGGAAAGAUCUGGAACACUGAGCCCAGGGCUUCGCCCCAUCCAGGGCCACUUGGAUACCAUGGAUUGAGAUGGCAGGGCCACAGAACGCAAUCCACCUGGACCCUGGAGUCCCCAAGGAGCUACCCUGGAGACCAGCUGGACCCUCAGCAGAAUUUCAGAAAGUUAGAAAUAAAAUUCUGUGUGUGAUUCCACUGA